RNA transcript from Rhinopithecus roxellana (golden snub-nosed monkey), 823 nucleotides. It is a transcript of the gene named E3 ubiquitin-protein ligase PPP1R11 pseudogene, with no coding region annotated. The transcript has a single exon. Lineage: Eukaryota; Metazoa; Chordata; Mammalia; Primates; Cercopithecidae. The record is from RefSeq and is a predicted model, not a curated record.
GAAGCAGAGCUGGAAGUGGAGUUGGUCAGGUUAUCCCCAUGGGUGGAGAAGAGGAGGCCCAGGAGGAGGGGGUAAAAAGAAGGUGGAGGAUCCUGGCUACCACUGAAUCCAAUACUGCUUAGCCUAGACCUCAGAGGCAUAAAAAGAGAAGGGUGUCUCAUCCCCCUUCCUCCUCUCCUCCCUCUCCUGAGCCUUAAGCCAUGGCCGAGGCAGGGGCUGGGCUGAGCGAGACCGGCACUGAGACAACGGUUACCGUGACAACCGAGCCCGAGAACCACAGCUUUCCCAUCAAACUUUGGAAACGGAAGCCAGAGAAAAAGGUGGAAUGGACAAGUGACACGGUGGACAAUGAGCGCAUGCGCCGCCGCUCAUCAAAAUGCUGCUGUAUUUAUGAAAAACCCCGGGCUUUUGGCGACAGCUCCACGGAACGUGAUGAGGAGGAAUAAGAGGGCUGUGGUCAUACACACUGUGUACGUGGCCACCUCAAAGGAUGGCGUCGUGCAACCCUGGGACCGACCCCCACCACGCCUUCCGGGCCUCCUGACCCUUCCCAGCCCCCAGCAGGGCCAUUGCAGCGCUAAAUUCCUCUUUCCCCCACCCUUCCUGAAUGUAUCCAUGUGGCUUCUUCUCCAGUACCCUCCUUCUCUUUCUUCUGCCUGACAGAGGGAAGAGGAAGAGGAGGGUAGACAGAUCCUGGAAUUCUGACUUGCUGCUAUUUCAGAACUCAGACUCCUGAGUUCCCCCAGUUCUCAUUUUUCCUCCCAAUACCCACCCUUCUCUCUCGAGGGAUCUAGGCACCUUGGUCCCAGCCUCUUCCUUUUGU